AAGUUCCACAGAUUAUCAGAUGCUGCUCUGGUUCAUUAUUUUGCAUUCUUUGUUUUAACAUCCGGUCAUCCUUAAUGUAUCUUUCUGCAGUGAUUAAUAUUACUGAUGAAGAUGAACUACGGAAGAGCUGUGCUGUGUUGCAUGACCAAUUAGUCAUCAGAUUGCAUGUUUGCAGCAUUUUAAAAAUGUUUCUCUUCACAGAAAUAAUUCAAAGCAUGUGAAGCUCCACAUCGUGUGAGAAACACUAUCAUAUCUGACCCUGGAACUUCCAAAGGCAGCUCCAGUGAGAGUCUGGGAAUUAUGUUAUUUCUUUCCUCAGAGAGUUCACACUUUAACAGAUCUGUGUACCAGAUUCCUUCCAAGAAAUCUCAAAUGUCUUUGGCAAGAGGAAAUCACUGUGGAGUCUGACUGGAUCAAGGAGAACAGGGCAUGCUCACUGAGAGGGAUUUCACAGUCUCUCUGUUCAAGAUGUUUGACUUCUAGUGAAUAUAAUUCUUCACUAAACUGGAUCAAGGCCUCCUAUGUGCGAAUUAUUAAAACCUGCAAAGAAUAGGGAAGUUCAGAAAUCACGAUGCUGAACUUGAUGAAGAUGUAGAAGACUCACAUAAAAGAAAGAAAUGCAUUGUUCUCCAUGUGUGCUUGUGUCUGAACAAGAAUUAUGUGGCUUAAAAUGUAAGGAAGAUGCCUCUGUGAAAUGUGUGUCUACCUGAAGGACAGGGAGGAGGACCUCCUCUUCACAAAUGUGCCUGGACAGUCUAUCUCUUUCUGAUCUAAAUAAAGUGUGUUUGUGCUUUUGCAGAGGACACACUGAUGAUGACAGGCUUAAUUAGUUGUAUCUAUAAUUAAUAUUCUCUAUAAUGUUUGAUAUGUGGAAUAUUAAAUACCUGAAAGAGUUUUAAGAUUUUACCUGACUGAAUCCAAAACAUUAUGAAAAUGGGACCUGGGAUUUUUCUAUAUAUUUUCUGUAUAUUUCUGUGUUUCCUAUAGAAACAUGCUGAAGUCAAAAGUACAGCUAGAAGAUGAUAUUCUUAUAUCUAUGGUCAGCUCUGUUUUCUGUUUAAUUUACAUGUUUGUUGGUUUUUUUUUUUUUUUUUAAAUUCAUCCUUCAAAGCACAGUUUGAGUUUCAAUUUUUCAACUUAAAACAGUGUGCGAUUAUUUACAUUGCUUUACCAUCACCUCUUUCUCGCUUUAUGUAACCCGGUGGGUGGAUCGUGUUACAACUGGAAAACUAAUUGUGUUCUGUCUUCAUGAAGAGAAGGAAUUAGUAUGUAAAUGGAGUGGUGGCAGUAUAGAAGGAGCUAAGCUGUAGAGGUUAUGCUUCGUAAACUGAGAACGCACAGAAUUUGCUGAAAGUUUCCAGAAGUUCAACAUGCAGUCACUAUGCAGUCAGACGGUGCUUUUGAGGUGUUUCUGAUGGGUGUAUGGCGAUGGCCUCUUGUAGGCUGCAGUCACACAUUUUACUGCACAGGCCCUCCUGCAAGGCAUCAGAGUAAAGCUUCCACUAGACAAGUCCACGCUAGGUGGAGGGUUUAGUAAGCUGUCGAUUAGGUGGGAGGUUGUGUAACCGUAUUUAGAGGUUUCUGAGAGCAACACUAAUGCAAGACUUCUCCCAGCAAUGGCAAGAUACAUAUGAUUUAACUUAAGAACAUUGAGGUUUUUGAAACUGUUUUCAAGAUCGUGUUUUUGACUUCCUAAAAUCCGGCACCUAUUUUAUGGAAAAGAAUCUGUAUUCUACUUCAUUUUGUUGACAAAUGGUAUGAAAAUGUUCACUUCCAAAUAUAUUAAUUUUUAUGUAAAGACCUGAACAUGUGAUAAAGACAAACUGUACUUCUGUGUCCAUAACACUGUUUCAAUGACAUGUACACUUCCACCUCAGAGAUCAAGUCCAGAGAAGAAUUAAACACAAAUCUGUUGCCAUGCACUUGUACAACUGAUUUCUUAGUCAUUUUUGUAUAUAGGAAUGAAUAACUGCAGCUGUGUUCCCUACAGUAGAAUUGGUAAACAGAAGGUAAAACUUCUGAAAAUACCAGCUAGGUCAUCCUAUAAUGAGGGACUGAAUCUGGGGCAAACAUACUUGAGGAAUGUAGGGAGUUCAGAUAGGCUUUUUCAUGUUUAAAUGUACUUUCUUCUUUGUUAAUCUAUUACUGGCUCAUUCUAAUAUACGUGUUUGAAUCUGAAAAUCUUAUCAAUGUGUCUUUUAUAUAUAUAUGCUAAUUCUUUUACUUUUCUGCCACGUCUUUGUGAGUGUUGGAGAGCAAGU
This is a long non-coding RNA of Tympanuchus pallidicinctus (lesser prairie-chicken), 2261 nucleotides long. RefSeq lists it as uncharacterized. The transcript has 3 exons. The record is from RefSeq and is a predicted model, not a curated record. Lineage: Eukaryota; Metazoa; Chordata; Aves; Galliformes; Phasianidae.